CGCCCGUCACACCAUGGGAGUGGGUUGCUCCAGAAGUAGAUAGUCUAACCCUCGGGAGGACGUUUACCACGGAGUGAUUCAUGACUGGGGUGAAGUCGUAACAAGGUAGCCCUAGGGGAACCUGGGGCUGGAUCACCUCCUUAUACGA
This is a ribosomal RNA of 148 nucleotides. It matches the Rfam family "Bacterial small subunit ribosomal RNA", at positions 1391 to 1533 of the family's 1533-position model.